AUUGAGUUUGAUCCUGGCUCAGGACGAACGCUGGCGGCGUGCUUAACACAUGCAAGUCGAGCGGUAAGGCCCCUUCGGGGGUACACGAGCGGCGAACGGGUGAGUAACACGUGAGCAAUCUGCCCUUCACUUUGGGAUAACUCUGGGAAACGAGAGCUAAUACCGAAUACGACCACUUCAGGCAUCUGAUGGUGGUGGAAAGUUCCGGCGGUGAAGGAUGAGCUCGCGGCCUAUCAGCUAGUUGGUGGAGUAACGGCCCACCAAGGCUUCGACGGGUAGCCGGCCUGAGAGGGUGACCGGCCACACUGGGACUGAGACACGGCCCAGACUCCUACGGGAGGCAGCAGUGGGGAAUAUUGGACAAUGGGCGAAAGCCUGAUCCAGCAACGCCGCGUGAGGGAUGACGGCCUUCGGGUUGUAAACCUCUUUCAGUAGGGACGAAGCGCAAGUGACGGUACCUACAGAAGAAGCACCGGCCAACUACGUGCCAGCAGCCGCGGUAAAAUC
RNAcentral lists this ribosomal RNA (507 nucleotides) under uncultured bacterium. Its description in RNAcentral is "bacterial SSU rRNA". It matches the Rfam family "Bacterial small subunit ribosomal RNA", at positions 1 to 526 of the family's 1533-position model. The record is from RNAcentral.